This 253-nucleotide ribosomal RNA is filed under the name uncultured bacterium. Its description in RNAcentral is "partial 16S ribosomal RNA". It matches the Rfam family "Bacterial small subunit ribosomal RNA", at positions 524 to 776 of the family's 1533-position model. The record is from RNAcentral.
UACGGAGGGUGCGAGCGUUGUCCGGAAUCACUGGGCGUAAAGGGCGCGUAGGCGGCUCGUGAAGUCAGUGGUGAAAGCCCAGGGCUCAACUCCGGGUCUGCCGCGGAUACUGCGAGGCUUGAGUGCUGUAGAGGGGGGUAGAAUGCCGGGUGUAGCGGUGGAAUGCGUAGAGAUCCGGCAGAAGACCGGUGGCGAAGGCGGCCCCCUGGGCAGUAACUGACACUGAGGCGCGACAGCGUGGGGAGCAAACAGG